Molecule: long non-coding RNA, 220 nt
Filed under: Volvox carteri
Lineage: Eukaryota; Viridiplantae; Chlorophyta; Chlorophyceae; Chlamydomonadales; Volvocaceae
Description: long non-coding RNA (VCAR_LNC002196)
Source: RNAcentral
GAAAAACCUACUUGAAGUGCGUAUCGCACUGCCCACAGCUAUUAACCUUCAAGGCAACCGAUGAGUCGGGACGAAGGAAUAGAGGCACGCUUUGAGGCCAUCACUCGUUGUUUUUGUAGACCUUGACAACAACAAGCGAUCUUGAUAUUGAGCACCAUUCUACACAAGCAACUAGCCAUGUUUCGUCUGAAUAAAUCCCUCAGCUUAUAAUCUCGGGACA